Molecule: unclassified non-coding RNA, 303 nt
Filed under: fungal sp.
Lineage: Eukaryota; Fungi
Description: partial internal transcribed spacer region
Rfam family: Eukaryotic small subunit ribosomal RNA (bases 1-46)
Source: RNAcentral
AAGUCGUAACAAGGUUUCCGUAGGUGAACCUGCGGAAGGAUCAUUAAAGAUUUUGUUUUUUGGGGUUUUCCCUGAAAAAUAAUUCACCUUUUGUGCAUUGUUAUUAGAAAUACUUUGGUUAGAGCUUUGAUUUCAUUUUUUGAAAUCAACUUCUUGCUAACUCUAUCCUGUUGAAUGGACUAUUGAAUGGGACAGUUGGCUAUGAAGCGGCCUACCAAGGUUUUUUAUCAAACUCUUGUAUUUUGUCUGACCUAAAUAUCAAUAAUUAAAUCAUAACUUUCAACAACGGAUCUCUUGGCUCUC